GAUGAACGCUGGCGGCGUGCCUAAUACAUGCAAGUCGAGCGAACAGACGAGGAGCUUGCUCCUCUGACGUUAGCGGCGGACGGGUGAGUAACACGUGGAUAACCUACCUAUAAGACUGGGAUAACUUCGGGAAACCGGAGCUAAUACCGGAUAACAUGUUGAACCGCAUGGUUCAACAGUGAAAGACGGUCUUGCUGUCACUUAUAGAUGGAUCCGCGCCGCAUUAGCUAGUUGGUAAGGUAACGGCUUACCAAGGCAACGAUGCGUAGCCGACCUGAGAGGGUGAUCGGCCACACUGGAACUGAGACACGGUCCAGACUCCUACGGGAGGCAGCAGUAGGGAAUCUUCCGCAAUGGGCGAAAGCCUGACGGAGCAACGCCGCGUGAGUGAAGAAGGUCUUCGGAUCGUAAAACUCUGUUAUUGGGGAAGAACAAAUGUGUAAGUAACUAUGCACGUCUUGACGGUACCUAAUCAGAAAGCCACGGCUAACUACGUG
This 497-nucleotide ribosomal RNA is filed under the name uncultured bacterium. RNAcentral describes it as "partial 16S ribosomal RNA". It matches the Rfam family "Bacterial small subunit ribosomal RNA", at positions 28 to 507 of the family's 1533-position model. The record is from RNAcentral.